GACGAACGCUGGCGGCGUGCUUAACACAUGCAAGUCGAACGGUGAAGGGACCGGUUUUUGCUGGUUCUGGAUGAGUGGCGAACGGGUGAGUAACACGUGAGUAACCUGCCCCCUUCUUCUGGAUAACCGCAUGAAGGGGUGGCAAAAACGGGUUAUUCGGGGCCUGCUGCAGGGGGGGGGGGGGAAGGUUUUUGUUUGGUGGGGGGAUGGGUCGCGGGCUAUCAGCUUGUUGGUGGGGUGAUGGCCUACCCAGGCGGUGACGGGUAGCCGGCCUGAGAGGGUGGACGGUCACACUGGGACUGAGACACGGCCCAGACUCCUACGGGAGGCAGCAGUGGGGAAUAUUGCACAAUGGGCGCAAGCCUGAUGCAGCGACGCCGCGUGAGGGAUGGAGGCCUUCGGGUUGUAAACCUCUUUCGCCAGUGAAGCAGGCCUGUCCCUUUUGUGGGUGGGUUGACGGUAGCUGGAGAAGAAGCGCCGGCUAACUACGUG
This 492-nucleotide ribosomal RNA is filed under the name uncultured bacterium. RNAcentral's name for it is "partial 16S ribosomal RNA". It matches the Rfam family "Bacterial small subunit ribosomal RNA", at positions 28 to 507 of the family's 1533-position model. The record is from RNAcentral.